UUGGAGGGCAAGUCUGGUGCCAGCAGCCGCGGUAAUUCCAGCUCCAAUAGCGUAUAUUAAAGUUGUUGCAGUUAAAAAGCUCGUAGUUGAAUUUCGGGGUUCUACCGUUGGUCGGGCUUUGUCUGUACUGGUGUGUAGAAUUUCUACCUUCUGGGGAACCAUCAUGCUAUUAAUUUAGCGUGGUGGGAAACCAGGACCUUUACCUUGAAAGAAUUAGUGUGUUCAAAGCAGGCUUAUGUCUGAAUACAUUAGCGUGGAAUAAUAGAAUAGGACGGUGGUCCUGUUUUGUUGGUUUCUGAAUCACCGUAAUGAUUAAUAGGGAUAGUUGGGGGCAUUAGUAUUCAAUUGUCAGAGGUGAAAUUCUUGGAUUUAUUGAAGACUAACUUCUGCGAAAGCAUUUGCCAAGGAUGUUUUCAUUAAUCAAGAACGAAAGUUAGGGGAUCGAAGGCGAUCAGAUACCGUCGUAGUCUUAACCAUAAACUAUGCCGACUAGGGAUCGGACGAUGUUAAUUUUUCUUGACUCGUUCGGCGCCUUACGGGAAAC
RNAcentral lists this ribosomal RNA (544 nucleotides) under uncultured Glomeromycotina. Its description in RNAcentral is "SSU rRNA". It matches the Rfam family "Eukaryotic small subunit ribosomal RNA", at positions 548 to 1098 of the family's 1831-position model. The record is from RNAcentral. Lineage: Eukaryota; Fungi; Glomeromycota.